This 515-nucleotide long non-coding RNA is filed under the name Mus caroli (Ryukyu mouse). RNAcentral's name for it is "lncRNA (MGP_CAROLIEiJ_G0002332.1)". The record is from RNAcentral. Lineage: Eukaryota; Metazoa; Chordata; Mammalia; Rodentia; Muridae.
GCUGAAGACUUUACUGACUGUGAUAUCACAGAAAAUGCACUGGCUGUAUGUCUAGUUCAUCUUACCAACUCUGGAAUCAAUCUGAAAGCUUGUGGUAAAGAUGACAAGGGAGACUCCACAGUGGUUCUGCAAGGAGUUUAUGAUUCUCAAGAAGUCUUUUAAAUAGCAGGGCUUCCUCCACUCUGUACGGGUUCAGUAACAUGACAUCUGCUCUGGACGUGACCAGCCACGCAUCAGGAAACUUGAGACUGUGGAUCAGAGACCCUCCUGUGUGCUUAGGAUAAACUCCAAACAGAGCACAGAAAUCAGCCCCUGAAAAGCAGUCAAAAUACUUGCAUCCAUGAAGCCCGAGCCAGCAUUAGCAGGUGGGAGCUGCAGGAAUCAGUUAGGAGAUGGAUGGCACUUAUUAGUCUGUAUCAUCAGAACACAGAUCCUCGCUUCCAGAACAACUUAAAAUCGAGAGAAAAUCCCAUGUGAGAGCUCUCAGGAAAACAUUAAAAUGCUAAUGAACUGAA